This 460-nucleotide ribosomal RNA is filed under the name uncultured bacterium. RNAcentral's name for it is "partial 16S ribosomal RNA". It matches the Rfam family "Bacterial small subunit ribosomal RNA", at positions 338 to 795 of the family's 1533-position model. The record is from RNAcentral.
CCUACGGGGUGCAGCAGUGAGGAAUAUUGGUCAAUGGGCGCAAGCCUGAACCAGCCAAGUCGCGUGAAGGUUGACGCCCCUACGGGUUGUAACCUUCUUUUUUCAAGGACUAAAGUGAGGCACUUGUGCCUGUUUGUAUGUCCUUUCUAAAUAAGGAUCGGCUACCGCCGUGUCAGCAGCCGCGGUAAUCCGUAGGAGCCGAGCGUUACCCGGAUUUAUUGGGUGUAAAGGGUGCGUAGAUGGGUUGGUAAGUCAGAUGUGAAAGUUUUCGGCUCAACCGUCAAAUUGCAAUUGAUACUGGAGUUCUUGAGUAUAGUAGAGGCAGGCGGAAUUCGUGGUGUAGCGGUGAAAUGCUUAGAUAUCACGAAGAACUCCGAUUGCGAAGGCAGCUUACUAAACUGUCACUGACAUUGAUGCUCGAAAGCGUGGGGAUCAAACAGGAUUAGAUACCCGGGUAGUC